UUAAAGGGUGAUGGCGUGCCUUUUGCAGAAUGAACCGGCGAGUUAAUGUUGCAUGCGAGGUUAAGUUGAAGAGACGGAGCCAAAGCGAAAGCGAGUCUGAAUAGGGCGAAUGAGUAUGCAGUAUUAGACCCGAAACCGAGUGAUCUAGCCAUGAGCAGGUUGAAGUUUUGGUAACACAAAAUGGAGGACCGAACCGACGUACCCGGAAACGUGCGCGGAUGACUUGUGGCUAGCGGUGAAAUUCCAAACGAACUCGGAUAUAGCUGGUUCUCCCCGAAAUAGGUUUAGGCCUAGCCUUGAGGUUAAGUACCGUGGAGGUAGAGCACUGAAUAUAUGAUGGCCCCAUCUAGGGGUACUGAAUGUAAUCAAACUCCGAAUGCCAUGGCUACAUACUCAGGAGUCAGCGUGUGGGUGAUAACGUCCAUACGCGAAAGGAAAAGAGUCCAAGAUCGCCGAUUAAGGUCCCAAAAUUUGUGCUAAGUGGGAAAGGAUGUGGAGUUGUCAAAACAGCUAGGAGGUUGGCUUAGAAGCAGCCAUCCUUUAAAGAGUGCGUAAUAGCUCACUAGUCGAGUGACACUGCGCCGAAGAUGUACCGGGGCUAAGCACAAUACCGAAAUCGCGGAUUCAUACGUAAGUAUGAGUGGUAGGGGAGCGUUCCAAGGGCGUCGAAGGUUGACCGUGAGGACAGCUGGAGCGCUUGGAAGUGAGAAUGCCGGUGUGAGUAGCGCAAGAUGGGUGAGAAUCCCAUCCACCGAUUGACUAAGGGUUCCUGGGGCAGGUUCGUCCUCCCAGGGUUAGUCGGGUCCUAAGACGAGGCCGAAAGGCGUAGCCGAUGGACAACAGGUUGAUAUUCCUGUACUAUCUAUAUGACUGAUGGAGUGACGGAGAAGGCUAGGGAGAGCCAGUUAAUGGAUUCUGGUCUAAGCACAAAGGUUUAUAAUUAGGGAAAUCCGGUUAUAGAUAAGCUGAAGUGUGAUGGUGAAGCUACUAAGUAGCGAAAUCUCUUGACGCCAAGCUUCCAAGAAAAGCUUCUAGGGCUAAUCAUAUAGGUACCCGUACCCAGAACCGACACAGGUGGUCAAGGAGAGUAUCCUAAGGUGAGCGAGAGAACCAUGGUUAAGGAACUCGGCAAAAUAACCCCGUAACUUCGGAAUAAGGGGUGGUCGCUAGACGACCGACACUAAAGACGCCCAGGCAACUGUUUACCAAAAACAUAGGUCUCUGCUAAGUCGAAAGACGAUGUAUAGGGGCUGACACCUGCCCAGUGCUGGAAGGUUAAGAGGAGUGCUUAGAAUAGACGUAAGUCGAUGAUUCGAAGGUACGAAUUGAAGCCCCAGUGAACGGCGGCCGUAACUAUAACGGUCCUAAGGUAGCGAAAUUCCUUGUCAGGUAAGUUCUGACCCGCACGAAAGGUGUAAUGAUCUGGGCACUGUCUCAACCAUGGACUCGGUGAAAUCUUAAUACCUGUGAAAAUGCAGGUUACCCGCAUCAGGACGGAAAGACCCCAUGGAGCUUUACUGUAGCUUGAUAUUGAGAUUCGGUAUGUUAUGUAGAGAAUAGGUGGGAGACUAUGAGACUAGGACGCCAGUUCUAGAGGAGUCACCUUUGGAAUACCACCCUUAAUGUAUUGGAUUUCUAACCUCGACCCAUGAUCUGGGCCAGGGACAGUGUCUGGUGGGCAGUUUGACUGGGGCGGUCGCCUCCCAAAAAGUAACGGAGGCGCCCAAAGGUUCCCUCAGAAUGGAUGGAAAUCAUUCGCAGAGCGUAAAGGUAUAAGGGAGCUUAACUGCAAGACCAACAAGUCGAGCAGAUACGAAAGUAGGGCUUAGUGAUCAGACGGUGCAGAAUGGAAUGGCCGUCGCUUAACGGAUAAAAGUUACCCUGGGGAUAACAGGCUGAUACCACCCAAUAGUUCACAUAGACGGUGGUGUUUGGCACCUCGAUGUCGGCUCGUCACAUCCUGGAGGUGAAGUCGCUUCCAAGGGUUGGGCUGUUCGCCCAUUAAAGUGGCACGCGAGCUGGGUUCAGAACGU
Molecule: ribosomal RNA, 2033 nt
Filed under: human gut metagenome
Description: bacterial LSU rRNA
Rfam family: Bacterial large subunit ribosomal RNA
Source: RNAcentral